AGAGUUUGAUCAUGGCUCAGGAUGAACGCUAGCUACAGGCUUAACACAUGCAAGUCGAGGGGAAACGACAUCGAAAGCUUGCUUUUGAUGGGCGUCGACCGGCGCACGGGUGAGUAACGCGUAUCCAACCUGCCCACCACUUGGGGAUAACCUUGCGAAAGUAAGACUAAUACCCAAUGAUAUCUCUAGAAGACAUCUGAAAGAGAUUAAAGAUUUAUCGGUGAUGGAUGGGGAUGCGUCUGAUUAGCUUGUUGGCGGGGUAACGGCCCACCAAGGCAACGAUCAGUAGGGGUUCUGAGAGGAAGGUCCCCCACAUUGGAACUGAGACACGGUCCAAACUCCUACGGGAGGCAGCAGUGAGGAAUAUUGGUCAAUGGGCGAGAGCCUGAACCAGCCAAGUAGCGUGCAGGAAGACGGCCCUAUGGGUUGUAAACUGCUUUUAUAAGGGAAUAAAGUGAGUCUCGUGAGACUUUUUGCAUGUACCUUAUGAAUAAGGACCGGCUAAUUCCGUGCCAGCAGCCGCGGUAAUACGGAAGGUCCGGGCGUUAUCCGGAUUUAUUGGGUUUAAAGGGAGCGUAGGCCGGAGAUUAAGCGUGUUGUGAAAUGUAGACGCUUAACGUCUGCACUGCAGCGCGAACUGGUUUCCUUGAGUACGCACAAAGUGGGCGGAAUUCGUGGUGUAGCGGUGAAAUGCUUAGAUAUCACGAAGAACUCCGAUUGCGAAGGCAGCUCACUGGAGCGCAACUGACGCUGAAGCUCGAAAGUGCGGGUAUCGAACAGGAUUAGAUACCCUGGUAGUCCACGCUGUAAACGAUGAUUACUAGGUGUGGGGGGACUGACCCCUUCCGUGCCGCAGUUAACACAAUAAGUAAUCCACCUGGGGAGUACGGCCGCAAGGUUGAAACUCAAAGGAAUUGACGGGGGCCCGCACAAGCAGUGGAGUAUGUGGUUUAAUUCGAAGCAACGCGAAGAACCUUACCAGGUCUUGACAUCGAGUGCAUAACUAAGAGAUUAGUGAAAUCCCUUCGGGGACACUUAGACAGGUGGUGCAUGGUUGUCGUCAGCUCGUGUCGUGAGAUGUUGGGUUAAGUCCCGCAACGAGCGCAACCCUUACCUUUAGUUGCUACGCAAGAGCACUCUAAAGGGACUGCCGUUGACAAAACGGAGGAAGGUGGGGAUGACGUCAAAUCAUCAUGCCCCUUAUGACCUGGGCUACACACGUACUACAAUGGCAAUCAACAAAGAGAAGCAAGACAGUGAUGUGGAGCAAAUCUCAAAAAAUUGUCCCAGUUCAGAUUGUAGGCUGCAACUCGCCUACAUGAAGUCGGAAUUGCUAGUAAUCGCGGAUCAGAAUGCCGCGGUGAAUACGUUCCCGGGCCUUGUACACACCGCCCGUCACACCAUGGGAGUCGGUAACACCCGAAGUCGGUAGUCUAACAGCAAUGAGGACGCCGCCGAAGGUGGGAUUGAUGACUGGGGUGAAGUCGUAACAAGGUA
RNAcentral lists this ribosomal RNA (1497 nucleotides) under metagenome. Its description in RNAcentral is "bacterial SSU rRNA". It matches the Rfam family "Bacterial small subunit ribosomal RNA". The record is from RNAcentral.